AGUGAACGCUGGCGGUAGGCCUAACACAUGCAAGUCGAACGGCAGCACAGUAAGAGCUUGCUCUUACGGGUGGCGAGUGGCGGACGGGUGAGGAAUACAUCGGAAACUACUUUUUCGUGGGGGAUAACGUAGGGAAACUUACGCUAAUACCGCAUACGACCUACGGGUGAAAGCAGGGGAUCUUCGGACCUUGCGCGAUUGAAUGAGCCGAUGUCGGAUUAGCUAGUUGGCGGGGUAAAGGCCCACCAAGGCGACGAUCCGUAGCUGGUCUGAGAGGAUGAUCAGCCACACUGGAACUGAGGCACGGUCCAGACUCCUACGGGAGGCAGCAGUGGGGAAUAUUGGGCAAUGGGCGCAAGCCUGAUCCAGCCAUACCGCGUGGGUGAAGAAGGCCUUCGGGUUGUAAAGCCCUUUUGUUGGGAAAGAAAAGCAGCAGGUUAAUACCCCGCUGUUCUGACGGUACCCAAAGAAUAAGCACCGGCUAACUUCGUG
This 492-nucleotide ribosomal RNA is filed under the name uncultured bacterium. RNAcentral describes it as "partial 16S ribosomal RNA". It matches the Rfam family "Bacterial small subunit ribosomal RNA", at positions 29 to 507 of the family's 1533-position model. The record is from RNAcentral.